Clupea harengus (Atlantic herring) is the source of this 1360-nucleotide long non-coding RNA. RefSeq lists it as uncharacterized. The transcript is spliced from 2 exons. The record is from RefSeq and is a predicted model, not a curated record. NCBI's taxonomy places the organism in Eukaryota, Metazoa, Chordata, Actinopteri, Clupeiformes, Clupeidae.
AUCUAUGGUGGGCACAGCCCCCUGUACCGCCUGUCACAUCUCUGCCUGUUCACUCACUUGCCCUCCCAUCCACACACCCACCCCCCCCCGCCCCCCUUCAGCCCCAAGCACCGUCCCCCUCUCCUCUCUAACCCCUUCUCCAUGUUCCCCUUCUUCUCCCUCCCUCUCCCCCUCAAUUUGUUGUGUGCCUUUUGAAUCUGAAUCUGGAUUACAGAUUACCACAUAUUGUUUCCACUCAAAUGCAAUGGUGACAUCACUGGCAGGACUAAAAUCUAAAAGUGCACAGGUAUCUCAAAGGAAGUCCCCUUAAAGAUCGCAAUGGUCAGUUUUAUGUCACGUAUAAAGGAUAGCUGUAUAGAUGGUGAACAAAUUCCCAGGGCCCCAAGAUGUGUCUCCAAAGGGCUUUCUACAAAAGGGCAAUAUUAAAACUGCCCCUAACAAGCACAAGCUCUAUUAUUUAACAUUUGUCAUCGGAAAAUGUCCAUUUAAAAAAAAAAAAAUGCUUUCAUUUCAUCACUGCUUUUAUUCCAUUCAUUUACCUUUUGGACCAGUUAAAUCGCUUCAGAUACAACCUACGUAACACUGCAUUUUAUCCGUAUCAUGUUAUCACCACCAUACUUUCAAUGCCCCUAAGGUGGAGUUUUGUACAUUUCCCAACCACUCUUAGCUAACGUAGCAGAGCUGUCCAGCAGGUUGCGGGAGCUUUUCUUGGCAUUAUUGGUUCUCUGAACUUUGAUGGUUGAAGUUCAAAGUUCAUACUCUCCCUGGAGGAGGGAUUCCUGGGUUGAUUUCAGUGUUUCGCAGCGCAGCUAAGAUCAGUUGGGUGGUUUCAGUCAUGUCAAAGUUUUUAAAACCGAAUGGCUUAGCGAUAGCUUUGCCAGCGCCAGUUAUAGUGCCAGGCUUUGGCCAAAGCUGAUUUAGUGUUUUUCUACCUCAAGAGAAUGUUCUGAGCUCUUUUCUGUGUCUUUGCAUUCCUGACUGUUUGUACUGAAUGAUUUCCCGCACAUGUAAAUGCUCGAAGCAAAGCCAUGUUGGUCUAGCCCCACAGAUAUAGUGCUUUACAUGUAAGCUUACUUGCCUUAGCCAUUAGCCACAUCAGUCUGUCACCAAGCUUUUUUUUUGUUUUGUCUGUCUGUCUGUUUGUUUUGUUGUUUAUCUGCACAUGCUGUACGUAUAUAAACAUUUCUCACCACUCUAUGAGGCUGACAUAAACCCCUUCACAUGUUUGAGUGUCACACAUGCCAAACCAAACCAUGACUAUCAGCAGAGACUCUCUCUCUCUCUCUGGUCCCCUGUUUCGGGGUGGCUGGUCGCUCUAACGCCUCGGGCGGCUCUCUCUAUGGUUCCAGUACUCUCCCAG